UACGGGGGGGGCAAGCGUUGUUCGGAAUUACUGGGCGUAAAGGGCUCGUAGGCGGCCAACUAAGUCAGACGUGAAAUCCCUCGGCUUAACUCCGAAACUGCAUUCGAUACUGCCGUGCUUGAGGACUGGAGAGGAGACUGGAAUUUACGGUGUAGCGGUGAAAUGCGUAGAUAUCGUAAGGAAGACCAGUGGCGAAGGCGGGUCUCUGGACAGUUCCUGACGCUGAGGCACGAAGGUCAGGGGAGCAAACGGG
This 253-nucleotide ribosomal RNA is filed under the name uncultured bacterium. Its description in RNAcentral is "partial 16S ribosomal RNA". It matches the Rfam family "Bacterial small subunit ribosomal RNA", at positions 524 to 776 of the family's 1533-position model. The record is from RNAcentral.